Molecule: long non-coding RNA, 222 nt
Filed under: Manihot esculenta (cassava)
Lineage: Eukaryota; Viridiplantae; Streptophyta; Magnoliopsida; Malpighiales; Euphorbiaceae
Description: long non-coding RNA (MESC_LNC010232)
Source: RNAcentral
GGAGACUAAGCAAAGAGGAAAUUCGUUGUGGUAUCGUCAGAUCAAUCGACUAAGAUAUUUCUUAAGCCCUACGAUGCCGAUUUCGCUAAUCAUCCCGAAUUCCUUGCUUCCCAAAUAGUCUUACUUGUCUUAGGUAGGUGACUGGAAUCUACAGCAUGGCGAAGGAAAUAGUUCUAGACCAGAAGGUGAUCUUGGUUGACAAGGUCAUCCACAGCAUGAGGG